AAUGCGAAAGUAGCAAUACUAGUAGCAUGGCGAAAGGGAUAGUAAUGCAUGAGCAAUCUACCCUCGACUCUGGGAUAUGCGGUAGAAAUGCCGAGUAAUACUGGACGCCGAUGCGAUGGGACAUCCCAAUGUAUCGAAAGGUCCGCCGGUCGAGGAGGAGCUCAUGUCCUAUCAGCUUGUUGGCGGGGUAACGGCCCACCAAGGCGAGGACGGGUAGCGGGUGUGAGAGCACGACCCGCAUCACUGGCACUGAGACACUGGCCAGACUCCUACGGGAGGCUGCAGUCGAGAAUCUUCGGCAAUGGACGAAAGUCUGACCGAGCGACGCCGCGUGGAGGAUGAAGGCCUUCGGGUUGUAAACUCCUGUUGGGAGGGAGCAAAUUUUGAGCGACCUCCUGAGGAAGCACGGGCUAAGUUCGUGCCAGCAGCCGCGGUAAGACGAACCGUGCGAACGUUAUUCGGAAUCAUUGGGCUUAAAGGGCGCGUAGGCGGCGAUAUAAGUUGGAAGUGAAAUCCCAUCGGCUCAACCGUGGAAUAGCUCCCAGUACUGUAUCGCUCGAGGGGGAUAGGGGUCUGCGGAACUACCGGUGGAGCGGUGAAAUGUGUUGAUAUCGGUGGGAACGCCAGUGGCGAAAGCGGCGGACUUGACCCUUCCUGACGCUGAGUGCGCGAAAGCUAGGGGAGCAAACGGGAUUAGAUACCCCGGUAGUCCUAGCCUUAAACGUUGGGUACUGAGUAGUAAGGGGACCGAUACCUCCUACUGCUGAAGCGAAAGUGUUAAGU
RNAcentral lists this ribosomal RNA (783 nucleotides) under uncultured Planctomycetota bacterium. Its description in RNAcentral is "bacterial SSU rRNA". It matches the Rfam family "Bacterial small subunit ribosomal RNA", at positions 65 to 865 of the family's 1533-position model. The record is from RNAcentral. Lineage: Bacteria; Pseudomonadati; Planctomycetota.